Molecule: long non-coding RNA, 348 nt
Organism: Populus euphratica (Euphrates poplar)
Lineage: Eukaryota; Viridiplantae; Streptophyta; Magnoliopsida; Malpighiales; Salicaceae
Exons: 4
Source: RefSeq, a predicted model, not a curated record
GGUGCUUAGGAAUUGCUCAAUAAGUGGUGAAAUCCCCCCGUACAUUGGUGAUUGGUCAAGGUUAACAUACCUAGACUUGAGCUUUAACAGCUUAACUGGUGGAAUACCAAAUUCCAUGAAAAUGAAAAAGCUGAAUUUAAGUAAGAUGUUUCCUACAGGAAAUAUGCUUAAUGGCACAGUAACUUCCUGGGUUCCUGAUACCAUUCAAGACAAGGCGGACUUGUCAUAUAAUAAUUUUGAAAUUUCACGUGAUGGUCCGAAGAUAGGAGAAGGAAAGCUGAACAUGUAAUAACGGCUACUUCAUUUUCUUCUUCCUUUUUUUUUUCACUUGCAAGCAUAUUAUUGUCU